This 249-nucleotide ribosomal RNA is filed under the name uncultured Actinomycetes bacterium. RNAcentral's name for it is "uncultured actinobacterium partial 16S ribosomal RNA". It matches the Rfam family "Bacterial small subunit ribosomal RNA", at positions 28 to 276 of the family's 1533-position model. The record is from RNAcentral. Lineage: Bacteria; Bacillati; Actinomycetota; Actinomycetes.
GACGAACGCUGGCGGCGCGCCUAACACAUGCAAGUCGAGGGAGAACCGACUUUCGGGUCGGGGAGGACCGGCGAACGGGUGAGUGACACGUGAGGAACCUGCCCUGUAGACCGGAAUAACCACGGGAAACUGUGGCUAAUGCCGGAUGGUCUCGGAUGACCGCAUGGAUGUCCGAGGAAAUGGUCUGCCGCUACAGGAUGGCCUCGCGGCCUAUCAGCUAGUUGGUGAGGUAACGGCUCACCAAGGCGA